GAGGGUAUAGCUUAGCCUUAGAGUGCAUGCUUAGCAUGCACAACGUCCUGGGUUCAAUCCCCAGUACCUCCA
RNAcentral lists this transfer RNA (72 nucleotides) under Camelus bactrianus (Bactrian camel). It matches the Rfam family "tRNA". Rfam says of the family: Transfer RNA (tRNA) molecules are approximately 80 nucleotides in length. Their secondary structure includes four short double-helical elements and three loops (D, anti-codon, and T loops). Further hydrogen bonds mediate the characteristic L-shaped molecular structure. tRNAs have two regions of fundamental functional importance: the anti-codon, which is responsible for specific mRNA codon recognition, and the 3' end, to which the tRNAs corresponding amino acid is attached (by aminoacyl-tRNA synthetases). tRNAs cope with the degeneracy of the genetic code in two manners: having more than one tRNA (with a specific anti-codon) for a particular amino acid; and 'wobble' base-pairing, i.e. permitting non-standard base-pairing at the 3rd anti-codon position. Lineage: Eukaryota; Metazoa; Chordata; Mammalia; Artiodactyla; Camelidae. The record is from Rfam by way of RNAcentral. RNAcentral also lists the same sequence under 2 other names.